UACGAAGGGGGCUAGCGUUGCUCGGAAUCACUGGGCGUAAAGCGCACGUAGGCGGCUUUCUAAGUCAGGGGUGAAAUCCUGGAGCUCAACUCCAGAACUGCCUUUGAUACUGGAGCUUGAGUCCGGGAGAGGUGAGUGGAACUCCGAGUGUAGAGGUGAAAUUCGUAGAUAUUCGGAAGAACACCAGUGGCGAAGGCGGCUCACUGGCCCGGUACUGACGCUGAGGUGCGAAAGCGUGGGGAGCAAACAGG
Molecule: ribosomal RNA, 251 nt
Filed under: uncultured bacterium
Lineage: Bacteria
Description: partial 16S ribosomal RNA
Rfam family: Bacterial small subunit ribosomal RNA
Source: RNAcentral